CCCCGGAAAGAUAAUACGGAACACUGAUGACAAACAGGUGGUUCCGUUAAUAAAUAGGUUCCCCAGAAUGAUAAUACGGAACACUGAUGACAAACAGGUGGUUUCUCUAAUAAAUAGGUUCCCCGGAAUGAUAGUACGGAACACUGAUGACAAACAGGUGGUUCCGUUAAUAAAUAGGUCCCCUGGAAUGAUAAUACGGAACACUGAUGACAAACAGGUGGUUCCGUUAAUUAAUAGGUCCCCCGAAAUGAUAAUACGGAACACUGAUGACAAACAGGUGGUUCCGUUAAUAAAUAGGUCCCGCGGAAUGAUAAUACGGA
This 320-nucleotide long non-coding RNA is filed under the name Mytilus galloprovincialis (Mediterranean mussel). Lineage: Eukaryota; Metazoa; Mollusca; Bivalvia; Mytilida; Mytilidae. The record is from RNAcentral.